RNAcentral lists this ribosomal RNA (1282 nucleotides) under metagenome. Its description in RNAcentral is "bacterial LSU rRNA". It matches the Rfam family "Bacterial large subunit ribosomal RNA", at positions 1665 to 2925 of the family's 2925-position model. The record is from RNAcentral.
CCUUAGGUAGAGAAUACCGAGGCGAUCGGGCGAACUGUGGUUAAGGAACUCGGCAAAUUACCCCCGUAACUUCGGGAGAAGGGGGGCCACAGACUGUCAUACCCCACGCGGGUGGCAGCAGUAGGUGGCCGCAGAGACCAGGGGGAAGCGACUGUUUACUAAAAACACAGGUCCGUGCGAAGUCGUAAGACGAUGUAUACGGACUGACGCCUGCCCGGUGCUGGAACGUUAAGGGGACCGGUUAGUCCGCAAGGGCGAAGCUGAGAACUUAAGCGCCAGUAAACGGCGGUGGUAACUAUAACCAUCCUAAGGUAGCGAAAUUCCUUGUCGGGUAAGUUCCGACCUGCACGAAUGGCGUAACGACUUCCCUACUGUCUCAACCACAGGCCCGGCGAAAUUGCACUACGAGUAAAGAUGCUCGUUACGCGCGGAAGGACGGAAAGACCCCGGGACCUUCACUAUAGCUUGACAUUGGUAUCCGAAUUUAAUUGUGUAGGAUAGGUGGGAGGCUUUGAUCCGCGGACGCCAGUCCGUCGGGGAGCCAACGUUGAAAUACCACUCUGUUGACUUUGGGUAUCUAACUUCGGACCGUGAUCCGGUUCAGGGACAGUGUCUGGUGGGUAGUUUAACUGGGGCGGUUGCCUCCUAAAAUGUAACGGAGGCGCCCAAAGGUUCCCUCAGCCUGGUUGGCAAUCAGGUGUUGAGUGCAAGUGCACAAGGGAGCUUGACUGUGAGACUGACAGGUCGAGCAGGGACGAAAGUCGGGACUAGUGAUCCGGCACCUGCGAGUGGAAGCGGUGUCGCUCAACGGAUAAAAGGUACCCCGGGGGUAACAGGCUGAUCUUCCCCAAGAGUCCAUAUCGACGGGAUGGUUUGGCACCUCGAUGUCGGCUCGUCGCAUCCUGGGGCUGGAGUAGGUCCCAAGGGUUGGGCUGUUCGCCCAUUAAAGCGGCACGCGAGCUGGGUUUAGAACGUCGUGAGACAGUUCGGUCCCUAUCCUCCGCGCGCGUAGGAGACUUGAGAAGAGCUGUCCCUAGUACGAGAGGACCGGGACGGACGAACCUCUGGUGUGCCAGUUGUCAUGCCAAUGGCACGGCUGGUUAGCUACGUUCGGAAGGGAUAACCGCUGAAAGCAUCUAAGCGGGAAGCUCGCUUCAAGAUGAGGUCUCCCACCCCUUAGAGGGUUAAGGCCCCCAGCUAGACCACUGGGUUGAUAGGCCAGAAGUGUAAGCCUGGUAACAGGUUCAGCCGACUGGUACUAAUAGGCCGAGGACUUCACCAA